AUUGAACGCUGGCGGCAGGCCUAACACAUGCAAGUCGAGCGGAUGAAGGGAGCUUGCUCCUGGAUUCAGCGGCGGACGGGUGAGUAAUGCCUAGGAAUCUGCCUGGUAGUGGGGGAUAACGUCCGGAAACGGGCGCUAAUACCGCAUACGUCCUGAGGGAGAAAGUGGGGGAUCUUCGGACCUCGCGCUAUCAGAUGAGCCUAGGUCGGAUUAGCUAGUUGGUGGGGUAAAGGCCUACCAAGGCGACGAUCCGUAACUGGUCUGAGAGGAUGAUCAGUCACACUGGGACUGAGACACGGUCCAGACUCCUACGGGAGGCAGCAGUGGGGAAUAUUGGACAAUGGGCGAAAGCCUGAUCCAGCCAUGCCGCGUGUGUGAAGAAGGUCUUCGGAUUGUAAAGCACUUUAAGUUGGGAGGAAGGGCAGUAAGUUAAUACCUUGCUGUUUUGACGUUACCAACAGAAUAAGCACCGGCUAACUUCGUG
This 484-nucleotide ribosomal RNA is filed under the name uncultured bacterium. Its description in RNAcentral is "partial 16S ribosomal RNA". It matches the Rfam family "Bacterial small subunit ribosomal RNA", at positions 30 to 507 of the family's 1533-position model. The record is from RNAcentral.